AGAAUUGAAGCCAUUGCUCUUGGCAGGGAAAGGAGGAAAAGAGAAGCGAUUUAGAGGACCCUGAGGGGAUAUUGAGAGUUGAAUAAGCUAGCAAGGAGUUAAUACAGAAUCAACAGUGGAACACCUGCUGCUUUUCAGAAGAUAUCCCUCAUGUGACCAAAACAAGAUGAAGUCUGUUCCCUGUUGAAUUCCUACAUGUAAAAUAAGCCAUAUGAGAGCAAAAUAUCUCAACUACAGUACCACAAGGUGUCAUGUCCUGAAGUGACACCUAAAGGAAGUUUGCACAUGCGACAGAACUGGAACUAUAUGCAAUGUCUAGGGUUCUCUCCCCUCUAGUCUUACUGAAUCAUCUAGUAAGAGAUGCUGCUUAGCCACAGCUACUGAAGUAGACUGUUGCAAAAAACUAUCCACAGAAAGGGCAUGUUAAGUAAAUGCAAAGUUAACAGUAGGACUUCUGCUGCUAAGAGCAGAAAUGAGAUACUUUUUAUUUAAAAAAAGAGUAAUGGCUUCUAUUCAAGAGGUUUUGAUAUUGAAAUCUGUAGUUUCUUAUGACAGACAGUAUUGUUGAUUCAAAUGGAUUCAAGCUCUGUUAUUCAAGAGGACAAUGUGUUAUAUACAAACCAUUUAACUCAAGCUUUUAACUUGUUUUCUCUGUUGACAGUAGUAUGAGAGAUUGUCUAGGGGGUAAUCUUUCUAAAGUAAUGCCAGAAAAGUUUUAUCCACUUACAACUUCCAUAAAAAAUCCAAAGCUCUUGAUUCCUACUGCCUGUUUACCUGCUAUAUAAAUGUCUCAGGAAUUUACCUGAGAGGAAGAGCUGAGGCUAAGCUUGAUUUAAAGCAUAUUUCUUCUAGACUACCAGCCAUGGAAAAUAAUAGACUAGAUUUAUCUCUUCUGUCAUUAUCCAUCUUGACCAUCUAAGAGUUAAGCACCUAGUCUUCUUCUACAGUCAGUGAAAAGUAGGAAGCAUUUCAAGAGGAUGAAUCACUCCAUGCCAAAAUAGCAGUUGGAGACAGCUGAUGGACUAUG
Pipra filicauda (Wire-tailed manakin) is the source of this 1027-nucleotide long non-coding RNA. RefSeq lists it as uncharacterized. NCBI's taxonomy places the organism in Eukaryota, Metazoa, Chordata, Aves, Passeriformes, Pipridae. The transcript is spliced from 3 exons. The record is from RefSeq and is a predicted model, not a curated record.